UUCAUACAGAGAAGAUUAGCAUGGCCCCUGCGCAAGGAUGUCACACAAAUUUGUGAAGCAUUCCACAUUUAA
Molecule: non-coding RNA, 72 nt
Organism: Erinaceus europaeus (western European hedgehog)
Lineage: Eukaryota; Metazoa; Chordata; Mammalia; Eulipotyphla; Erinaceidae
Source: Rfam